UACGGAGGGUGCAAGCGUUAUCCGGAUUCACUGGGUUUAAAGGGUGCGUAGGAGGGCAGGUAAGUCAGUGGUGAAAUCUCCGAGCUUAACUUGGAAACUGCCGUUGAUACUAUCUGCCUUGAAUAUUGUGGAGGUGAGCGGAAUAUGUCAUGUAGCGGUGAAAUGCUUAGAUAUGACAUAGAACACCAAUUGCGAAGGCAGCUCGCUACGCAUAUAUUGACUCUGAGGCACGAAAGCGUGGGGAUCAAACAGG
This 253-nucleotide ribosomal RNA is filed under the name uncultured bacterium. RNAcentral describes it as "partial 16S ribosomal RNA". It matches the Rfam family "Bacterial small subunit ribosomal RNA", at positions 524 to 776 of the family's 1533-position model. The record is from RNAcentral.